This is a small nuclear RNA of Saimiri boliviensis boliviensis (Bolivian squirrel monkey), 108 nucleotides long. The record is from RefSeq and is a predicted model, not a curated record. Lineage: Eukaryota; Metazoa; Chordata; Mammalia; Primates; Cebidae.
GCGCUCGCUUCGGCAGCACAUAUACUAAAAUUGGAAUGAUACAGUGAAAGAUUAGCAUGACCCCUGUGCAAAGGUAAACCAUACAUUUGUGACACGUUCCAUAUUUUA